GACGAACGCUGGCGGCGUGCUUAACACAUGCAAGUCGAACGGAAAGGCCCUGCUUUUGUGGGGUGCUCGAGUGGCGAACGGGUGAGUAACACGUGAGUAACCUGCCCUUGACUUUGGGAUAACUUCAGGAAACUGGGGCUAAUACCGGAUAGGAGCUCCUGCUGCAUGGUGGGGGUUGGAAAGUUUCGGCGGUUGGGGAUGGACUCGCGGCUUAUCAGCUUGUUGGUGGGGUAGUGGCUUACCAAGGCUGUGACGGGUAGCCGGCCUGAGAGGGUGGCCGGCCACAUUGGGACUGAGAGACGGCCCAGACGCCUACGGGGGGCAGCAGGGGGGAAUAUUGCACAAUGGGCGGAAGCCUGAUGCAGCAACGCCGCGUGCGGGAUGACGGCCUGCGGGUUGUAAACCGCUUUCGCCUGUGACGAAGCGUGAGUGACGGUAAUGGGUAAAGAAGCACCGGCUAACUACGUG
This 468-nucleotide ribosomal RNA is filed under the name uncultured bacterium. Its description in RNAcentral is "partial 16S ribosomal RNA". It matches the Rfam family "Bacterial small subunit ribosomal RNA", at positions 28 to 507 of the family's 1533-position model. The record is from RNAcentral.